UACGUAGGGCGCAAGCGUUAUCCGGAAUUAUUGGGCGUAAAGAGCUCGUAGGCGGUUUGUCGCGUCUGCCGUGAAAGUCCGGGGCUCAACUCCGGAUCUGCGGUGGGUACGGGCAGACUAGAGUGAUGUAGGGGAGACUGGAAUUCCUGGUGUAGCGGUGAAAUGCGCAGAUAUCAGGAGGAACGCCGGUGGCGAAGGCGGUUCUCUGGGCAUUACCUGACGCUGAGGAGCGAAAGUGUGGGGAGCGAACAGG
This 253-nucleotide ribosomal RNA is filed under the name uncultured bacterium. RNAcentral describes it as "partial 16S ribosomal RNA". It matches the Rfam family "Bacterial small subunit ribosomal RNA", at positions 524 to 776 of the family's 1533-position model. The record is from RNAcentral.